Antechinus flavipes (yellow-footed antechinus) is the source of this 1392-nucleotide long non-coding RNA. RefSeq lists it as uncharacterized. The record is from RefSeq and is a predicted model, not a curated record. The transcript has 2 exons. Lineage: Eukaryota; Metazoa; Chordata; Mammalia; Dasyuromorphia; Dasyuridae.
CCGUAUUCACCUUGUCCAUCAGAAAGAGAUGGAGCACACUUUGAAAGGCAGCCCAAGAAUCUCAUUCUAAAUAUCAUCAGGCUGCUCGAGCUUUACUCUUAUAAUUUGGAAUAACAAGAGAGGAGGGUAGGAGCAUAGUAAAAACCUGUACACCUUGCCUUCCCUUCCACGCUCCUACACUGCCUCCAGAGAAGAACCCUUGUGGUUUGAGACCCAUUGAAAUGUGGCAAAUGGAUUUGACCCAUUAUAAAUCUUUUGGUCCUCUGUCUUUUAUCCAUGUUGUGGUAGACACCUUUUCAGGAUUCACUUUUACAAUAUCAGCAGCAAAAGAGACAGCCUGAGUGAUCACUGAAUUCCUUAUACAAGCAUUUGCAAUUAUGGGUGCGCCACAAGCAAGGAAAACAGACAAUGGACCUGCAUAUACUUCUGAACAUUUUGCACACUUUUGUGCACAGUGUAAGAUUUUACACACCACUAGCAUACCUUUUAAUCCUCAAGUACAGGCAAUAGUAGAGAAGAGAGAGACAUUAAGAUGCUCCUCUGAAAACAAAAGAAAGGGGGAGCCACAGACAACCCUAGAGAACUUGUAAAUCUAGCUCUUUAUACUAUUUCUUGAUGUUUGACAAGGUGCAUUGGCUCUGGCAGGCAGGUUUUAUAACCCACCGGAAGGGCAGUGUCCAGUGCGAGCCUCUCCAUUAUCUUUAAUCGCCAGGUGAUGUGGAGAGGCCCAGAAAGUGGUGAAUGGAAGGGACCCGAUAUGUUAACUGCUUGGGGGAGAGGGUUUGUUUGUAUCUCCACAAAUGGAGAAGGAAUCAGAUGGGUGCCAAUGAGCCAUAUUCACCUUGUCCAUCAGAGAGAGAUGGAGCACACCUUGAAAGGAAGAAGACCCAAGAAACAUCUGGUGGUUCCAUUGCUGACUGUGCUCACCACUGAAUGAGCACGGCAGUUAUGGCGUUUGACUUGUGGACAUCAACAAUUGUAGAACUGCAAAACUCUCAGGAAUCACUGGAUUCUCUGAGAUAUGAAAAGACUGUUGCAGGACUUCAAAAACUUGUGGGAAUCAUUGGAUCCCAUGACAUGUGAAGCAAUGCACAAUAGAUUGAUUUUGGACUAUCUCUUGGCUGCUGAAGAAGGCGUAUGUGUGACUGUUGUUUACAUACCCUUCUUUUAGGACUUGUGGAAAUCUUUUACAACACUAUGAUGAUUCAUAUUGUUUGUUAUAUCACUACUUGCAUGUACAAUUGAUGUUUGUUGCACCACAUUGAGCCUGCAGUGGUUGUGCGGAGAGUCAUCACUACUAGCCUGUGCAAUAUUGAUAUGUGCUUGUGUAAUACCUCCCAUGCUGAUGGGUUUGUGCAUACCUGUUUCUAAUAAAACCCUUCAGCCCAGAAA